Molecule: ribosomal RNA, 400 nt
Filed under: uncultured bacterium
Lineage: Bacteria
Description: bacterial SSU rRNA
Rfam family: Bacterial small subunit ribosomal RNA
Source: RNAcentral
UGGGGAAUAUUGCGCAAUGGGGGAAACCCUGACGCAGCAACGCCGCGUGGAGGAAGAAGGCCUUCGGGUUGUAAACUCCUGUCAUUUGGGACGAAAAAAAUGACGGUACCAAAUGAGGAAGCCACGGCUAACUACGUGCCAGCAGCCGCGGUAAUACGUAGGUGGCGAGCGUUGUCCGGAAUUAUUGGGCGUAAAGGGCGCGUAGGCGGCCUUGUAAGUCAGAUGUGAAACCCCCGGGCUUAACUUGGGGCAUGCAUUUGAAACUGCAGGGCUUGAGUGCAGGAGAGGUAAGUGGAAUUCCUAGUGUAGCGGUGAAAUGCGUAGAUAUUAGGAGGAACACCAGUGGCGAAGGCGACUUACUGGACUGUAACUGACGCUGAGGCGCGAAAGCGUGGGGAGC